This 433-nucleotide ribosomal RNA is filed under the name uncultured bacterium. RNAcentral describes it as "partial 16S ribosomal RNA". It matches the Rfam family "Bacterial small subunit ribosomal RNA", at positions 29 to 507 of the family's 1533-position model. The record is from RNAcentral.
AACGAACGCUGGCGGCAUGCCUAACACAUGCAAGUCGAACGAAGCCUUCGGGCUUAGUGGCGCACGGGUGCGUAACGCGUGGGAAUCUGCCCCUUGCUUCGGAAUAACAGUUAGAAAUGACUGCUAAUACCGGAUGAAGUCUUCGGACCAAAGAUUUAUCGGCAAGGGAUGAGCCCGCGUAGGAUUAGGUAGUUGGUGGGGUAAAGGCCUACCAAGCCGACGAUCCUUAGCUGGUCUGAGGGGAUGAUCAGCCACACUGGGACUGAGACACGGCCCAGACUCCUACGGGAGGCAGCAGUGGGGAAUAUUGGACAAUGGACGCAAGUCUGAUCCAGCAAUGCCGCGUGAGUGAUGAAGGCCUUAGGGUUGUAAAGCUCUUUUACCAGGGAUGAUAAUGACAGUACCUGGAGAAUAAGCUCCGGCUAACUCCGUG